RNAcentral lists this ribosomal RNA (694 nucleotides) under uncultured bacterium. RNAcentral describes it as "bacterial SSU rRNA". It matches the Rfam family "Bacterial small subunit ribosomal RNA", at positions 32 to 715 of the family's 1533-position model. The record is from RNAcentral.
AACGCUAGCUACAGGCUUAACACAUGCAAGUCGAGGGGCAGCAUGGUCUUAGCUUGCUAAGGCCGAUGGCGACCGGCGCACGGGUGAGUAACGCGUAUCCAACCUGCCUUACACUCUUGGACAGCCUUCUGAAAGGGAGAUUAAUACAAGAUGUUAUCAUGAGUAAGCAUUUUCGCAUGAUUAAAGGUUUACCGGUGUAAGAUGGGGAUGCGUUCCAUUAGAUAGUAGGCGGGGUAACGGCCCACCUAGUCUUCGAUGGAUAGGGGUUCUGAGAGGAAGGUCCCCCACAUUGGAACUGAGACACGGUCCAAACUCCUACGGGAGGCAGCAGUGAGGAAUAUUGGUCAAUGGACGAGAGUCUGAACCAGCCAAGUAGCGUGAAGGAUGAAGGUUCUAUGGAUUGUAAACUUCUUUUAUACGGGAAUAAACGAAUCCACGCGUGGAUUUUUGCAUGUACCGUAUGAAUAAGGAUCGGCUAACUCCGUGCCAGCAGCCGCGGUAAUACGGAGGAUCCGAGCGUUAUCCGGAUUUAUUGGGUUUAAAGGGAGCGUAGAUGGGUUGUUAAGUCAGUUGUGAAAGUUCGCGGCUCAACCGUAAAAUUGCAAUUGAUACUGGCAGUCUUGAGUACAGUUGAGGUAGGCGGAAUUCGUGGUGUAGCGGUGAAAUGCUUAGAUAUCACGAAGAACUCCGAUUG